AUAUACUCGAGUAUAAGCCGACCCGAAUAUUAGCCAAGGCACCUAAUUUUACCACAAACAAAUGAUUGACUCGAGUAUAAGCCUAGGUUGGGAAAUGAAGCAGCUACUGGUAAAUUUCAAAAAUAAAAAUUGAUACCAAUAAAAUUACAUUAAUUGGGGCAUCAGUAGGUUAAAUGUUUUUUAAUAUUGCUUUCAAAGAAAAACAGUAAACUAGCGCAGUAAUGGGAAAAGAGGGUCAACAAAAACAAUAUGGUCACAACAAUAACUUUAACAGUACAAAAACCUUAGCUCAAUCAGCAACUAAGCUAAAAGAGUUAAAACCCUUAAAAACUGGAUUCCUCCUCAUCAUCUGUAUGUCCAAACAGAGCUUUAGCUGUAGCUGGUGUGAGGUUAUCAGGAUAGACAUUGUCAUCAUCACUGAGUUCGUAGUCAUCACCAUCACUGCAAUCGUUCUCAUACAAAGCGCUGUCUUCCCUGCCAUCCAUAGCAUUACUAAUGCCACAUUUCUUGAAGGCGCGUCGCACAAUGUUCUCUGGAAUCUCUUCCCAUGCAUCACGAACCCACUUUGCUAUCAAUUCUAUGUCGGGCUUCAUCAGAUUCCCAACUUUUGUCUGUCGGGGGUGACCAGAUGACAUCCAUUCAUGCCACCUCUUUCGCACACGGUCUUUGAAAGGUUUAUUUAAACACAUAUCUAGGGGCUGCAAUACAGAUGUAAGCCCAUCUGGAAUAACGGCCGAAGUAACUUGAGAAGACUUUGCCAAUUUUUUUAUGUCAUCAGAUGUGUGGGCUCUGAACAUAUCCCAAACUAGCAAUGAUGGUUUUUUCUUUAAGGCUGCUCCUGGUCGUCUGUUCCAAAUUUCUUCCAGCCAUUCUUUUGUUCCGUCUUCAUCCAUCCAGCCUUUAACAUGUGCGCGCACUGUAAUUC
Pelobates cultripes (western spadefoot toad) is the source of this 925-nucleotide non-coding RNA. Lineage: Eukaryota; Metazoa; Chordata; Amphibia; Anura; Pelobatidae. The record is from the annotation of a GenBank genome assembly.